This 441-nucleotide ribosomal RNA is filed under the name uncultured bacterium. RNAcentral's name for it is "bacterial SSU rRNA". It matches the Rfam family "Bacterial small subunit ribosomal RNA", at positions 63 to 487 of the family's 1533-position model. The record is from RNAcentral.
CGCACGAGAACUCUUUAGCUUGCUAAAGAUAGUAAAGUGGCGCACGGCUGAGUAACGCGUGGGUAAUCUACCUUUGAAUCCGGGAUAACUCCGCGAAAGCGGGGCUAAAACCGGAUAACAUCUCAAAAUCCUCGGUUUUUGAGAUCAAAAGUGGCCUCAGCAUGUAAGCUACUGUCGGAGAUGAGCCCGCGGUGGGAGCAGCUCGCUGGCAGGGUAAUGGCCUACCAACGCAACGAUGGUGAGCUGGUCCGCCAGGAUAGAUCAGCCACACUUGGAACUGACACACGGUCCAGACUCCUAGGGGAGAGCAGCAGCGGGGAAUAUUGCCGCAAUGGAGGAAACUCUGACGCAGCAACGCCGCGUGGGUGAUGAAGGCCUUCGGGUUGCAAAACCCUGUUGUGCGAGACGAAGCCGACAAGCGGCCUGACGGUAUUGCCGAGG